CUCUAUGUGGAGAAUCAAUGUUGCAGAAAGUGGAAUGUAAUAUUUCAGCUUAACUCAAUAUCCAAGACCAUCUGCCAAGGACUUCACUUUCUUCCUCUGCUGGAGGAUGUCAGUCUUUCUAGCAACUGAUUUGCAGCCGGCAAUUGUUCACCUUGGGCUGAGGACUAAAGUCCAAACGAAUCUGUUGACCUCAGCUGCAGCUGCAUAGCUGAGAUUUCAGUGUGCUGCACAGAAACUGGGAUGGAAUGAAUUCAACUUCCUGAAGAGGAGAAGAGUCUGCAGGUGGAUCUGCAACACUGGUUGCAUCUGACCUUCAGGGUUCAUUUGCACUCCCAGUCCUGCACAGAGGGGCAGUGACCAAGAACAAAGAUGAUGGAAGUGGUGUGCUGGGAGAGGGAGCAUGGCACUUUCUG
RNAcentral lists this long non-coding RNA (413 nucleotides) under Equus caballus (horse). RNAcentral describes it as "lncRNA (ENSECAG00000045099.1)". The record is from RNAcentral. Lineage: Eukaryota; Metazoa; Chordata; Mammalia; Perissodactyla; Equidae.